UAGGGAAUCUUCGGCAAUGGACGAAAGUCUGACCGAGCAACGCCGCGUGAGUGAAGAAGGUUUUCGGAUCGUAAAACUCUGUUGUUAGAGAAGAACAAGGACGUUAGUAACUGAACGUCCCCUGACGGUAUCUAACCAGAAAGCCACGGCUAACUACGUGCCAGCAGCCGCGGUAAUACGUAGGUGGCAAGCGUUGUCCGGAUUUAUUGGGCGUAAAGCGAGCGCAGGCGGUUUCUUAAGUCUGAUGUGAAAGCCCCCGGCUCAACCGGGGAGGGUCAUUGGAAACUGGGGGACUUGAGUGCAGAAGAGGAGAGUGGAAUUCCAUGUGUAGCGGUGAAAGGCGUAGAUAUAUGGAGGAACACCAGUGGCGAAGGCGGCUCUCUGGUCUAUAACUGACGCUGAGGCUCGAAAGCGUGGGGAGCAAACAGG
RNAcentral lists this ribosomal RNA (429 nucleotides) under Gemmatimonadota bacterium. Its description in RNAcentral is "Gemmatimonadetes bacterium partial 16S ribosomal RNA". It matches the Rfam family "Bacterial small subunit ribosomal RNA", at positions 355 to 776 of the family's 1533-position model. Lineage: Bacteria; Pseudomonadati; Gemmatimonadota. The record is from RNAcentral.